UUAAAUCAAAGAUAAAAAUGAAUUGCAAGAAUAACUUCAAUAUCAUGUAAAUUGCUAGAAUCAUAUAUUACAAGAUUAAAAGAUUACAUUCUAAGCUCAAUCAAGUGCCUCUAAUCCCAGCUAAGGAGAUUUAGUUCAUCAUUGUCAUGAGAACAUUACAAAAGUGGAAUGAAAGUUGAGAAUCCAUGCAAGGACUUGAUUUCUCCAAGAAUCUUGAUGAAUCCACACUCAAUCACUAUUGCCCAGUAUACACAGUGUAUUUUCGCCCUCUUCUCUCUCUAA
RNAcentral lists this long non-coding RNA (282 nucleotides) under Medicago truncatula (barrel medic). RNAcentral describes it as "lncRNA gene375". Lineage: Eukaryota; Viridiplantae; Streptophyta; Magnoliopsida; Fabales; Fabaceae. The record is from RNAcentral.